RNAcentral lists this ribosomal RNA (245 nucleotides) under uncultured bacterium. RNAcentral describes it as "partial 16S ribosomal RNA". It matches the Rfam family "Bacterial small subunit ribosomal RNA", at positions 524 to 767 of the family's 1533-position model. The record is from RNAcentral.
UACGUGGGGUGCAAGCGUUAUCCGGAUUUAUUGGGCGUAAAGAGUUCGUAGGCGUUUUUCUAAGUUUCACCUGAAAGACCGAGGCUCAACCUCGGGACCGGAUGAAAGACUAGAAGAAUUGAGUCGGUUAGGGGGUACUGGAACUGUCGGUGUAGCAGUGAAAUGCGUUGAUAUCGAUAGGAACACCAAGGGCGAAGGCAAGUACCUGGGACCGCACUGACGCUGAGUGAACGAAAGCUAGGGGA